Molecule: non-coding RNA, 69 nt
Organism: Araneus ventricosus
Lineage: Eukaryota; Metazoa; Arthropoda; Arachnida; Araneae; Araneidae
Source: the annotation of a GenBank genome assembly
UUGUCGUAGGUCAGUUGGCAGAAUAUUAGGCUGUAAACUUAUUUGUCCUUGGUUCGAGUCCAAGAAAAG